GCCGUGGUGGUGGAACUGGUAGACACGCUGUCUUGAGGGGGCAGUGGGCUAAGCUCGUGCGGGUUCGAGUCCCGCUCUCGGCACCA
Molecule: transfer RNA, 86 nt
Filed under: Deltaproteobacteria bacterium
Lineage: Bacteria; Pseudomonadati; Myxococcota; Myxococcia
Description: tRNA-Leu
Rfam family: tRNA
About the family: Transfer RNA (tRNA) molecules are approximately 80 nucleotides in length. Their secondary structure includes four short double-helical elements and three loops (D, anti-codon, and T loops).
Source: RNAcentral